UCGAUGCAUCUUUUAUAGCCAU
This 22-nucleotide non-coding RNA is filed under the name Arabidopsis thaliana (thale cress). Lineage: Eukaryota; Viridiplantae; Streptophyta; Magnoliopsida; Brassicales; Brassicaceae. The record is from RNAcentral.